ACCCUUCUCCGUAAUCGAGCUGCUACGGCCCCUUCCCCUGCCGGUACAUGAGAGGCGGUGCGCUGUUCACUGGCUUCACAUGCACGCACCUCUCACGCGCUGAGCAUCGACUGAACUUGCAUCCGCUUCUGCCCUCCGCCCCAUUCUCCCAUUCGAGGUAUCUUUGUCGAGGAAGUCAACCAUCUGCUUCUCCGAUGGGCAUCGCUGUUCAUUUUUUGUUUUGUUUUUCUUCCUCGUUUUUCUGCGUUCACACACGGCUGCCGCGUCUGCAUGUGUACACAAGCGCGUACGUGUGUGUGUGUGUGUGUGUGUGUGUGUGUGUCGGUGACUGCGUAUUGACUACUUUGCGUCCAUACUGUUGUUCGCGCUUGCCUUUAUUUCUUAUCUUAGGUUUUUCGCUUCAUUGUCGUGUGUGCGUGUGAGCACAUUAAACACACUCUCUUCUCUCCCAUCCUCCUUCUCCCUCUCCCCCAAUAUCCUCCCCAGCACCGGUCUCUCUUUCGCACCGCUGCCAUGGUGAGGCACAUCUUAACAUUUUCUGCCGUUCAUUUUUUCUUCUGCCACGUCUCUUUACCGCUCUGUAGCCUUCUGCUGUUUGUAGGCACGCCCGUGUGUGCGCGUGUGAUCAGUGUCUCGGUGGCGGCGGCUGUCUCACACGUUUACGUUUUGAGGUGCCUUGUCGCUCUGCCACUCCGUCUCUGUGCUUCGUUCCUAACUACACAUCCCUGCACACGCACACACAAGCACAAAUAUAUGCAUACAUACACAUACGCACAUUAAAAUAUCUUUUCUAUCGAAGUAUUCCCCCCCUCCUCCCCCUCUCCAUUCUCUCCCUUCCCUCUCUUUUUCUUUCUGGCUGUUGUGUGGCUCAUUCCCGAGUACCACUCGCCGGGCUCCUUUUCACGCAUGGGCCGGCGGCUCUCCGUGUGGUUACCGCCGCCUUGACCUUCGUACCGAGAGAGAAAGAGAGAGGCACCGUGUUCGUGAUACAGCUCGGUAUCUCCGAGGUGAGGGAGCAGGCUGUUGCAGGACCGUGACGCUGGUGCUCCGUGCUUGCGGACGGGGUGAUGCUGCACUGGUGGUAUGCAUUCACCAAUGGAGCACACCCCAACCUCGGCCAGCGGAGGUGCUGGCCGCUUUGUAUCGACCUCGCCGGUGGCCCUUUCCGCAGGCAGUAGUGUGCAUGCAGCACCACGGCAGCCACUCACCAGCCGCGCCGGCUCGCUCACCGAGGGCGGACUGAGCAAACCGUUGGGCAGCAUUCAGGUACUCGUGUCCGAACGGGUCUCAUUACCCGCCUCGCUCUCAUGCGCUGCUUUGGGGUCUCUCCAGACCUCCAGUGCUGCCGAAGAAGCUUUUGUGAGCUGCUCAUCGCUCCCGGCGGUGGCGGCGAAGAGUCCUUCCGCGCAGCGCUCACCUCCCUGGAAGUGCGGUCGCCUGUACUUCGUGAGCCCCACCACGGCGCUGGACGUUGGGGCCGCUGAUUACAACACCGUUUACCCUCGGUGCUGCUCUCUCGAGUAUCUCGCCGGGCUUGCUGUUGCCGCCUACAUAAUUUUGUACGGCUUCGCAGCGAUUCGAGACUUCUGCGACCGCCACGCGAAAUACUACUGGAUAAAACUCGUCUACCCAACUCCACUGUUCCUGCGGCUUGGCACCAAUGGCUACGACAACUUGACCGAUAAGCAGUGGACGGGGUUCUGCGGACAAUAUCCGAAGCUCCUGGGGGUGGCGCUUCUCCUUGGCGCGUGGUCAGCUCUGUGUCGAGACUCGAGGGCUUCGUCGCCUCCGUCAUCUUCGUCCUCUCCGCUGUCCGCCUUUACGACAGGAAAGCAACGCGCCGAUGUCGGAGACCGACGUCCUCCGGGUACUCCUCUAGCCUCCGUUUACCAACUCUGCUCCCACGCCGCCCUCACGCUCGCAGAGCGGGUCAUCCUUUACCGCUCAUCGUGUAUUCCUGCCUUCUACACGGUUGUGGGCGUCGUCUUCGUCAUCUUUGUGCACGGCCCGCACUUUUUCCUCCCGCUGCUCAUCAUCAUCGCCAACUACGUCAUCUUCUCGCGGCUGCAGCGCUGGUGCCCCUACUGGCUGUUCAUGGUCAUCAUGUGGGCCGCGCACGUCACUCUCCUGUACCUCAUCGAGAUCAACGAUGGGUUCGAGCAGACGUACUGGCUGCAGUACUUCGUACCCACUUCCGAGAAGGUUGCUUGGGCUGUGCUGGCCGAGGUCCGGAUACCUCUCUGGAAGCAGCGUAUGCGCUGGUGCGUAGCCUUCCGCAUGUCGACGCUGCGCCUCAUCGCCUUCAACUACGACCUGUGGGAGGCCACGCACGCCGCCGCACGCGCGCGCGACCGUGCCAGGGCGAAGCACGACACCGGCUGCGUCGAGUGCGCGCAGCUGCGCGAGCAGAACGCAGCGUCGGCGGCCGCGCUGCCCGCCGAGGCGUUGCGCUGCUACAAGUACCGCACCGAGUACGCGCGCGACCCCGCCGACUACAACUUCCUGAACUACGCCGCCUACGUGCUGUUCCCGCCACUGUACCUUGCCGGGCCAAUGUCGUCCUUCAACGCGUUCGUGUCGCACAUGCGCGUGCCGAGCACGUCGAUGCCGCUGCGCAAGAUGGUGAGGUACGCGUUUGGCAUCCUCCGCAUCUACAUCACGGAGUACACGCUGUUGCACUUUGUGCACAUCCCGUGCCUCGGCUCGUACGCCUUCGUGAUCCUUCGGAUGACGUUGCUGGAGCAGGCGCACUUCCUGUUCUACAUGCUGGCCUACCUGUGGCUGAAGUUCAGCUUUAUAUGGAAGUCGUCGCGUCUCUUCGCCAUGUUCAGCGGCAUCGAAGUUCCGGAGGACAUGCGGCGCUGCUUCGGCAACACGCUGACGGUGCGGGGCUUCUGGCGCGACUGGCACGCCUCCUUCAACCUGUGGAUCGUGCGGUACAUGUACAUCCCGAUGGGUGGCCGCAGCCGCGUCGCGCUGUCGGUGCUGCCCAUCUUCCUGUUCAUUGCGGUGUGGCACGACCCGGCGCUGCACCUUGUCAAGUGGGCGGUGUGCAUUGCCGCGAUGUUCGUGGCGGAGGUGGCGGUGAGCGGGUGCUUUGGGUGGGCCGCUGCGGCGUUCCGGCGCGAGAUGGCCGCCGCGGCACCGACGGGCGCAGUAAGUGAUGCUGCGCUGGAGAACGGUCGCCCCACGAACUGCGCGCCGCGCCGCAGUCUGCUGGCACGGCUGGCGAGGCUCUCUGCGCGUCGCUUGAGCCCGCGCACGCGAGCUUGGCUGCACCGCCAAAUCCGCGUUGUAGGCGGGAUGUCAACUGUCUUCGCGCUUAUUGUGGCAAACCUUAUCGGUUUCUCGAUGCAAAACAGCUCAGCUACAAUCGCGAAGAUUGGCACUACCUUGGAGCCCACGGAUGCAGAGGACAUUAUCGCAAGAUCAUUCUCGCAGUUGACGCCGUGGUUUGCUACUGGUCUUCUCGUCUCUCUGUACACCCUGUCAUCGCUAGCCGUCAUUGACCGGGACAUGCAAGCGCACAUGAUGUCAUGGUUACGGCAGCAGUAUAAGCUGAAUAAGAGAACCAGCGGGGCAACUCCUGUCGAAGGGAGGACCUGAGAGAACGUAUGACUGUCGGCGGAUGUGAAGAGUCGCCGCCUCUGCGGACCUUCACGCUCUUUGUAGUUCUGGCGGUUGCUCUCCGGGCUGAGGGUCUGCAUGCGCAGGCGGGUGCAUAGGAGUGUGAGCCACUGGUGGUGUCGUCCUCAUGUGCCGCUGGCAUAGCUGCUUGUGGACGCCGCUCUAUACAUCCAUUCAUCUGUGCAUAUAUAUAUAUAUGUAGAUAUAUGCAUAUACAUCCGUGUGUGUGUGUUCUCCGUUUUUUAUUCCCACUCAUCCCAGUGCUUUCCCAAGCCAGAAGCGUCGAAGAAUGAACGAAUGGAGCGAAGCAGGGCAGAAAAUAACUUCAAAAAAGGAAAAUACG
Molecule: unclassified non-coding RNA, 3970 nt
Filed under: Leishmania donovani
Lineage: Eukaryota; Euglenozoa; Kinetoplastea; Trypanosomatida; Trypanosomatidae
Description: gene:LdHU3.19.1600(CDS-product:glycerol_uptake_pr otein_putative)
Source: RNAcentral